CCUACGGGUGGCAGCAGUGGGGAAUAUUGCACAAUGGGGGAAACCCUGAUGCAGCGACGCCGCGUGAGUGAAGAAGUAUUUCGGUAUGUAAAGAUCUUUCAGUAGGGAAGAAGAAAGACGGUACCUGACUAUGAAGCCCCGGCUAACUCCGUGCCAGCAGCCGCGGUAAUACGUAGGGGGAAAGCGUUAUCCGGAUUUACUGGGUGUAAAGGGAGCGUAGACGGCUUUGCAAGUAUGAAGUGAAAGCCCAUGGCUCAACCAUGGGACUGCUUUGGAAAUUGUGGAGCUAGAGUGCUGGAGAGGUAAGUGGAAUUCCUAGUGUAGCGGUGAAAUGCGUAGAUAUUAGGAGGAACACCAGUGGCGAAGGCGACUUACUGGACAGUAACUGACGUUGAGGCUCGAAAGCGUGGGGAGCAAACAGGAUUAGAUACCCCUGUAGUC
RNAcentral lists this ribosomal RNA (441 nucleotides) under uncultured bacterium. RNAcentral describes it as "partial 16S ribosomal RNA". It matches the Rfam family "Bacterial small subunit ribosomal RNA", at positions 338 to 795 of the family's 1533-position model. The record is from RNAcentral.